GAUGAACGCUGGCGGCGUGCCUAAUACAUGCAAGUCGAACGGAGUGCCGGCAAGGUACUUAGUGGCGACCGGGUGCGUAACACGUAGCUGACCCUGCCCCUNAGCGGGGACAACAGGCCGAAAGGCCUGCUAAUACCGCAUGACCAUGGGAUGACUAGCAAGGUCCUAUGUAAACUUACGGGGCUGAGGGAGGGACGCUGCGGCCCAUCAGGUAGUUGGUGAGUAACGGCUCACCAAGCCG
Molecule: ribosomal RNA, 241 nt
Filed under: uncultured bacterium
Lineage: Bacteria
Description: partial 16S ribosomal RNA
Rfam family: Bacterial small subunit ribosomal RNA
Source: RNAcentral